Molecule: ribosomal RNA, 1408 nt
Filed under: uncultured bacterium
Lineage: Bacteria
Description: partial 16S ribosomal RNA
Rfam family: Bacterial small subunit ribosomal RNA
Source: RNAcentral
AGAGUUUGAUCCUGGCUCAGGACUAACGCUGGCGGCGUGCCUAACACAUGCAAGUCGAACGAGUUGGUUUAUAGUAGCAAUAUUGUAGACCGGCAAGUGGCGAGAACGGGUGAGUAACACGUAGAUAAUCUGCCUUUCAGACGGGGACAACUCAGGGAAACUUGUGCUAAUACCCGAUGAGACUACGGGAGGGGACUUCUGUAGCCAAAGGUGGGGGUAACCUCACGCUGAAAGAUGAGUCUGCGUCCUAUCAGCUAGUUGGUGGGGUAAAAGCCUACCAAGGCGAAGACGGGUAGCCGGCCUGAGAGGGUGAACGGCCACACUGGGACUGAGACACGGCCCAGACUCCUACGGGAGGCAGCAGUGAGGAAUUUUCCGCAAUGGGCGCAAGCCUGACGGAGCGACGCCGCGUGAGGGAUGACGGCCUUCGGGUUGUAAACCUCUUUUAUAAGGGAAAAAGGUUGGCAUGCUAAUACCAUGUCAAUUUGAGCCCCGGCUAACUACGUGCCAGCAGCCGCGGUAAUACGUAGGGGGCGAGCGUUGUCCGGAGUUACUGGGCGUAAAGAGCGUGUAGGCGGUUGGAAAAGUCAGGUGUGAAAUUCUUCGGCUCAACCGGGGGACUGCGCCUGAAACUUUCCGACUGGAGUUUGGGAGGGGGAAGUGGAAUUCCUAGUGUAGCGGUGAAAUGCGUAGAUAUUAGGAGGAACACCAGUGGCGAAGGCGACUUCCUGGCUUGUAACUGACACUGAGGCGCGAAAGCGUGGGGAUCAAACAGGAUUAGAUACCCUGGUAGUCCACGCCGUAAACGAUGAGUGCUAGGUGUCGGGGGUAUCGACCCCCUCGGUGCCACAGCUAACGCAAUAAGCACUCCGCCUGGGGAGUACGGUCGCAAGACUGAAACUCAAAGGAAUUGACGGGCCCGCACAAGCGGUGGAGUAUGUGGUUUAAUUCGACGCAACGCGAAGAACCUUACCAAGGCUUGACAUCCCGUGACAGCUAUAGAAAUAUGGUCUUAUAGGUUUAACAUCUAUACACGGAGACAGGUGGUGCAUGGUUGUCGUCAGCUCGUGUCGUGAGAUGUUGGGUUAAGUCCCGCAACGAGCGCAACCCCUACAGCCAGUUGCCAGCACGUAAAGGUGGGAACUCUGGCAGAACUGCCGUUGACAAAACGGAGGAAGGUGGGGAUGACGUCAAAUCAUCAUGCCCCUUAUGUCUUGGGCUACACACGUACUACAAUGGCCUGAACAGAGGGAAGCAAAACUGCGAAGUUAAGCGAAUCCCUUAAAACAGGUCCCAGUUCGGAUUGUAGGCUGCAACUCGCCUACAUGAAGUUGGAAUCGCUAGUAAUCGCAGGUCAGCAUACUGCGGUGAAUACGUUCCCGGGCCUUGUACACACCGCCCGUCCCAA